GACGAACGCUGGCGGCGUGCUUAACACAUGCAAGUCGAACGGUGAAGCGCCUUCCUUUUUGGUGGGUGUGGAUGAGUGGCGAACGGGUGAGUAACACGUGAGUAACCUGCCCCCUUCUUCUGGAUAACCGCAUGAAAGUGUGGCUAAUACGGGAUAUUCUGGGUCUGUCGCAUGAUGGGUCUGGGAAAGAUAUUGUUUCGGUGGGGGAUGGUCUCGCGGCCUAUCAGCUUGUUGGUGGGGUGAUGGCCUACCAAGGCGGUGACGGGUAGCCGGCCUGGGAGGGUGGACGGUCACACUGGGACUGAGACACGGCCCAGACUCCUACGGGAGGCAGCAGUGGGGAAUAUUGCACAAUGGGCGCAAGCCUGAUGCAGCGACGCCGCGUGAGGGAUGGAGGCCUUCGGGUUGUGAACCUCUUUCGCCAGUGAAGCAGGCCUGCCUCGUUUGUGGGUGGGUUGACGGUAGCUGGAGAAGAAGCGCCGGCUAACUACGUG
RNAcentral lists this ribosomal RNA (494 nucleotides) under uncultured bacterium. RNAcentral's name for it is "partial 16S ribosomal RNA". It matches the Rfam family "Bacterial small subunit ribosomal RNA", at positions 28 to 507 of the family's 1533-position model. The record is from RNAcentral.